GACGAACGCUGGCGGCGUGCUUAACACAUGCAAGUCGAACGGAAAGGCCUUUUCGGAGGUACUCGAGUGGCGAACGGGUGAGUAACACGUGGGUGAUCUUCCCUGCACUCUGGGAUAAGCCUGGGAAACUGGGUCUAAUACCGGAUAGGACCGCACUUUAGUGUGUGUGGUGGCAAGGUUUUUCGGUGUAGGAUGAGCCCGCGGCCUAUCAGCUUGUUGGUGGGGUAAUGGCCUACCAAGGCGGCGACGGGUAGCCGGACUGAGAGGUUGGGCGGCCACAUUGGGACUGAGGUACGGCCCAGACUCCUACGGGAGGCAGAAGUGGGGAAUAUUGCACAAUGGGCGCAAGCCGGAUGCAGCGACGCCGCGGGGGGGAGGACGGCCUUCGGGUUGUAAACUCCCUUCGCCAGGGACGAAGCGUUUUGUGACGGUACCUGGAGAAGAAGCACCGGCUAACUACGUG
Molecule: ribosomal RNA, 463 nt
Filed under: uncultured bacterium
Lineage: Bacteria
Description: partial 16S ribosomal RNA
Rfam family: Bacterial small subunit ribosomal RNA
Source: RNAcentral